Molecule: ribosomal RNA, 503 nt
Filed under: uncultured bacterium
Lineage: Bacteria
Description: partial 16S ribosomal RNA
Rfam family: Bacterial small subunit ribosomal RNA
Source: RNAcentral
AUUGAACGCUGGCGGCAGGCUUAACACAUGCAAGUCGAGCGGGGUGAUGGUGCUUGCACUAUCACUUAGCGGCGGACGGGUGAGUAAUGCUUAGGAAUCUGCCUAUUAGUGGGGGACAACAUCUCGAAAGGGAUGCUAAUACCGCAUACGUCCUACGGGAGAAAGCAGGGGAUCACUUGUGACCUUGCGCUAAUAGAUGAGCCUAAGUCGGAUUAGGUAGUUGGUGGGGUAAAGGCCCACCAAGACGACGAUCUGUAGCGGGUCUGAGAGGAUGAUGCGCCAAACUGGGACUGCGACACGGCCCAGACUCCUACGGGAGGCAGCAGUGGGGAAUAUUGGACAAUGGGGGGAACCCUGAUCCAGCCAUGCCGCGUGUGUGAAGAAGGCCUUAUGGUUGUAAAGCACUUUAAGCGAGGAGGAGGCUCUUUUGGUUAAUACCCAAGAUGAGUGGACGUUACUCGCAGAAUAAGCACCGGCUAACUCUGUGCCAGCCGCCGCCGUAA